Molecule: ribosomal RNA, 253 nt
Filed under: uncultured bacterium
Lineage: Bacteria
Description: partial 16S ribosomal RNA
Rfam family: Bacterial small subunit ribosomal RNA
Source: RNAcentral
UACAGAGGUGGCAAGCGUUGUUCGGAAUUACUGGGCGUAAAGGGCGCGUAGGCGGUCAGGUCAGUCCCGUGUGAAAUCCCUCGGCUCAACUGAGGAACUGCACGGGAAACUGCCUGGCUUGAGUUCGGGAGAGGGAAGCGGAAUUCCGGGUGUAGCGGUGAAAUGCGUAGAUAUCCGGAGGAACACCGGUGGCGAAGGCGGCUUCCUGGACCGGCAUUGACGCUGAUGAGCGAAAGCCAGGGGAGCAAACGGG